ACCAUAUGAGUCUGGUGGCUAGCACAUGGGUAGUUUGCUUGGCUUAAGGCAAAAAGCUAUGAAAUGAAGUAGUGGGAAAGAGAACUAAUUAAAUUUAUGUGUUAUAUUUCCCUCGUUAGUACACACCUUUUUUAUGGCAAAAAUCCUUGUUUACUUUUGUCAUCCUAUCAAAAAUGACACAUAAUCAUCUCUCAAAAUUUGUUUAAUGAAUAAAUAAACUAUAUUAUAUGUUACUUUUUCCUCUAAACCAUCAAUGCACUGUGUAGACCUAACUAUAUCCUAGAAGCUCAGAAAUCAAGGUAAACAUGAAGUUGAACAGUU
RNAcentral lists this long non-coding RNA (321 nucleotides) under Bos taurus (domestic cattle). RNAcentral's name for it is "long non-coding RNA NONBTAT000836". The record is from RNAcentral. Lineage: Eukaryota; Metazoa; Chordata; Mammalia; Artiodactyla; Bovidae.